AAACCAACAAGAACUGCUAACUCUCGCAUCUGAGUCUAAAACCUCAGU
This 48-nucleotide transfer RNA is filed under the name Selasphorus platycercus (broad-tailed hummingbird). Its description in RNAcentral is "partial tRNA-Ser". Lineage: Eukaryota; Metazoa; Chordata; Aves; Apodiformes; Trochilidae. RNAcentral also lists the same sequence under 1 other name. The record is from RNAcentral.